UACGUAUGGAGCAAGCGUUAUCCGGAUUUACUGGGUGUAAAGGGAGUGUAGGUGGCCAUGCAAGUCAGAAGUGAAAAUCCGGGGCUCAACCCCGGAACUGCUUUUGAAACUGUAAGGCUGGAGUGCAGGAGGGGUGAGUGGAAUUCCUAGUGUAGCGGUGAAAUGCGUAGAUAUUAGGAGGAACACCAGUGGCGAAGGCGGCUCACUGGACUGUAACUGACACUGAGGCUCGAAAGCGUGGGGAGCAAACAGG
This 253-nucleotide ribosomal RNA is filed under the name Lachnospira eligens. Its description in RNAcentral is "partial 16S ribosomal RNA". It matches the Rfam family "Bacterial small subunit ribosomal RNA", at positions 524 to 776 of the family's 1533-position model. The record is from RNAcentral. RNAcentral also lists the same sequence under 2 other names. Lineage: Bacteria; Bacillati; Bacillota; Clostridia; Lachnospirales; Lachnospiraceae.